Molecule: ribosomal RNA, 372 nt
Filed under: uncultured organism
Description: bacterial SSU rRNA
Rfam family: Bacterial small subunit ribosomal RNA
Source: RNAcentral
CAGAGGGUGCAAGCGUUGUUCGGAAUUAUUGGGCGUAAAGAGCGUGUAGGCGGCUUAGCAAGUCGGGCGUGAAAGCCCUCGGCUCAACCGAGGAAGUGCACCCGAAACUGCUGAGCUUGAGUGCCGGAGAGGAUGGCGGAAUUCCCCAAGUAGAGGUGAAAUUCGUAGAUAUGGGGAGGAACACCGGUGGCGAAGGCGGCCAUCUGGACGGUAACUGACGCUGAGACGCGAAAGCGUGGGGAGCAAACAGGAUUAGAUACCCUGGUAGUCCACGCCGUAAACGAUGAGAACUAGAUGUCGCGGGUGUUGACCCCUGCGGUGUCGCAGCUAACGCAUUAAGUUCUCCGCCUGGGAAGUACGGUCGCAAGAUUA